Non-coding RNA from Macaca mulatta (Rhesus monkey), 2241 nucleotides. NCBI's taxonomy places the organism in Eukaryota, Metazoa, Chordata, Mammalia, Primates, Cercopithecidae. The record is from RefSeq and is a predicted model, not a curated record.
GAGCCACAGAGCGAGACUCCGUCUCAACGAAAAAAAAAAAAAGAAUGUCUAGGUCUCCUCCAGCUUCUUCUACCCUCUUAUCUAUAGAUGCAGGCCAAAUUGUUUAAAUGUCCUGACCCUUCGUCUGUAAAAUAGCGCUAUGACCGCCCACACUGCUCCUGCCUCUUCUCAACAGGGGGUUGUACAGAUCCCAGAGGGAAGCCGCACACGGGAAGGUUGUUGAGACGGGAGAGGGAGACUGCGCAGGCUACAGGUAGAUGCUGCUUCUGAAGCUGCUGGCGGAUUGGGACACGCAUCACAAGGUGGCGUUUGCUUUUAGAACCCAAAUGAGUAAGAUCUCUGAGUUAUAAGCACCUCUCACCUCAACCGGCAGCAGCAGAAGGGGCUGGGUGGUCAUCACGGGGUCUCCUAGGAACACAGAGCCGGCCUGGCCUGGCCCUGUCCACUUACUGCCGGUGAGACCCUGGCCACGUUACUUCAUGUCUCGCAAACUCACUUUUCUCACCUGUAAAAUGGGUUCCUAGCUGUGCCUCGCCUGCUUGCUGGGUGGUGAGGAUCACAGCCUGGAUUGGGAGACGGGUGGGGCGCGCACCAACAGGCAGGCAGGAAACGAAAGGCGGCUCCAGCUUGCCCAAGGGCCAGAGAGAGUCCGUGCUUGGUGUGUGCUGGAGACGGGGCUGAGAGAGACACAAUGUUAUUUUCCUGGAGGUGGGACUUCUCCUUUGGCUGGAGUACCCAGCUGUGGACAGGAAAUCAUUUGUUUGUUGUUAGCCUGGGAGAGGACGUAAGGACCCACAUCUCUGCGCUGCUUGCCCUGGAAUGUGACUUACUGGAAACCUGGGUAACUCGUAGAUGAUACAAACGACUGAAAUGAGACCCUGGAAGCUGCUCUGGCCUCAGCCCAGGUGCAGCCCUGAGGCAGCAGCCGGGCAGCCAGACCUGAGAGCUGCUGGGGCUGCAGGAACUCGGCCACAUCCAGCCACACAAAACAAAACAAAACAAACAUUUCGGGCGAUCCUGGGGCAGCAUCCUUUCCUCAUCCUGCCUGGGCCAGGAGCCUGGGGCUAUGAAGUCGUAACGACUUAUCCAGCGCCUUCUGUCCAGAAUCGGGGGCCCCUCCCAAGAGGAAAUACAGCAUCACAAAAGUCCACACAGAGGCACGCUGGCGGCUGUCGCACUUCGUUGAUCCCUGUAACAGAUGCUGAAACACCAGCUAGUAAAACGGACACUUUGGGGCUGACAUCUGCUGCUGUGCCAGUAAUGAGCACUUCCUGUAUGCACGCACCUGGCUGCCAGGCGCAGGAAAUCCACACAGGCCGCAGAAUAAUUUGAUUCAGACACAGCGCGCACUGUUUCUGAGCUUUCGUGAUUUCAUCUUCCGGAAGGCGAAAAUCAUCCCUCUGCAGAAUUGGAUUUUUAUUUGCUGGUGUUCACCUGACAGGAGGCAUCUCCCGGGAAGAAGCAGUGCUUGCCUCUGCAGGGCAGGCUUGUUUUGUCUCCAAAAUGCCAAACCAGCUGCUUUUUUAAUCCCAUGGAGGCUGUCCAGACACCAGACAUUACUAUAUCCCUGGAAUUAUUCCCUGGGCAGCCGCAAAUGGAGCCGGGAAGAACCUGCCGAAGGGAACGCCUGCAGCCCCAGCUGGCAACGCCAUCCAGACUGCGCUCAGCAUCCACAGCAGCACACACAGGGCGGCAGGAGUCCUUCCUCAGUGCAGAGAGCACCGGAGCUGCCCCACCCUCUCCUAGCCAUCUGCAACUACUGGCCCCCAAGGAGAACAGUAAGAAGAAUUCAGAGGAGCUAAAAUCACCAAGAUUGAGCUAAAGCCCCCGGGACACGCCAGAGGAGCCUCCAUUAGCUCUGUCCCAAAUCCAUCCUGAGGAAACAGAUCAGAGGCAAGAGGCAAAGGGCCAAGAUGAGGCCCCAACACCUUCUUCUUGAAUGUAUGGGGGCCAGGAGACAACAGUCACACCCUCACCCCAGCCUGGUCUGCAGGGUCUGUCCCCCCUGCUUGGUUCUUCCCUAAAGCAACUCACAAAGCCGCUGCAGACAGCAGGACUGCAGUUUUUGAGGCAAACGUUGAGACACAGGUUUUGACAAUUUAAAAAAGAUUUUUCUCAUUAGUAAAUGUAUUUGAGAUGUUAGAGGUUUCACAAAUCAUAUUAACUUAUAUGUGAAUUAAUAUAUUUUGUUAAAUAACAAAUUUAUAUUUUAAUAAACAAUAAAUAAUAUGUAUGUGUGCA